UACGUAGGUGGCAAGCGUUGUCCGGAAUUACUGGGUGUAAAGGGAGCGCAGGCGGGAAGCCAAGUCAGCUGUGAAAACUACGGGCUUAACUUGUAGACUGCAGUUGAAACUGGUUUUCUUGAGUGAAGUAGAGGUUGGCGGAAUUCCGAGUGUAGCGGUGAAAUGCGUAGAUAUUCGGAGGAACACCGGUGGCGAAGGCGGCCUGCUGGACCGUGACUGACGUUGAGGCUCGAGAGCGUGGGGAGCAAACAGG
This 253-nucleotide ribosomal RNA is filed under the name uncultured bacterium. RNAcentral's name for it is "partial 16S ribosomal RNA". It matches the Rfam family "Bacterial small subunit ribosomal RNA", at positions 524 to 776 of the family's 1533-position model. The record is from RNAcentral.